CAUGGAGCAGUAAGAGAACCUGCGUGGGAUAAAUUCUCACAGGGGAGGAUGCUGGGUCUGAUUUUCUGUUGUCUCACAACCUUCUGUAGCUGCUGGUUCAGUGCAAAAAUGAUGAGGAAUACUGAAUGAACAAUUCCCACUGGGGCAGGGGAACAGCAGCACUCAGAAGAAAGCUCAGGUGGGAGUUGCAGUCCUUCCAUGCAAAUGCCUCCUUCCUUUGGAUAUCUGAGAUCUGGCAGAGAAUGAAGGAGAGGAGAUACUGAAUCCAUGAUGCCACCAAAGACAACAGCUGGCUGGCCACUGUUUAAAGAAACAGUGCCUUGCAUCAUGAAACUGAAGGCAGGUAUUGGGUCCCGAUCCCCUGGAAUAGCUGCUAUGGCAUUGCUGGAGGUCUAUAAUGUUGCUGGAGGUCCUGUUAUGGUGUGGAUCCCACUCUUCCUGAGAAGCCUGGUGCUAAGGAUGGAGGUUGGUCAGCUCCAGUUCCUUCAGCCAUUUUGUCCCAUUCUGAGGGUUGUUGCCCAGUGGAAGUGUUUCUGGGAAGUGAGAGAUGUAUCCUUCACGUCUGGGAGAUUCUUUGGCAGAAAUCUUCCUGUCUUCAGGAAGCUUCAAAUGCUGCAGUUCUGAAUGGGGUUCCCUGUUUGUUGCCAACUGGACUAAAGGAGAUGAAUUCAUACUGAAACCAAAACUGGGGAGGCCUGGAUGUACCUGAUCAAUGACUUGUCUCUGGGAGUAGGACAGGGCUAUGAGGCUGAACAUCUGGGCAAGGCAGCAGGGUGGGGAGCAGUACGUGGAAUGUGGACAGCUCAGAUCCCAAAGGAAGGUGCAGCCCAAUGGUAAAAGAGACAGCUGGUCACCUGUAGGGGAAAUAAUGCAACACAGCUCAAUGCCAUGCACUGCAGAUUUUGUCAAGAACAUAAAGAAACCUGGCGCUUUAUUUUUAUUUUUGAAGUGGAAGUGGUUCACAAGGUAUACCAGGGAGAUGAUUCAGUGCUUA
Molecule: long non-coding RNA, 994 nt
Organism: Tympanuchus pallidicinctus (lesser prairie-chicken)
Lineage: Eukaryota; Metazoa; Chordata; Aves; Galliformes; Phasianidae
Exons: 6
Source: RefSeq, a predicted model, not a curated record